This 31-nucleotide non-coding RNA is filed under the name Rattus norvegicus (Norway rat). Lineage: Eukaryota; Metazoa; Chordata; Mammalia; Rodentia; Muridae. The record is from RNAcentral.
UACCCAGGAGCUUAAUUAAAUAUGAUCAAGA